UACGUAGGGCGCGAGCGUUAUCCGGAAUUAUUGGGCGUAAAGCGCACGUAGGCGGAUCGUUAAGUCGGGGGUGAAAUCCUGGAGCUCAACUCCAGAACUGCCUUCGAUACUGGCGAUCUCGAGUCCGGAAGAGGUGAGUGGAACUCCUAGUGUAGAGGUGGAAUUCGUAGAUAUUAGGAAGAACACCAGUGGCGAAGGCGGCUCACUGGUCCGGUACUGACGCUGAGGUGCGAAAGCGUGGGGAGCAAACAGG
RNAcentral lists this ribosomal RNA (253 nucleotides) under uncultured bacterium. RNAcentral describes it as "partial 16S ribosomal RNA". It matches the Rfam family "Bacterial small subunit ribosomal RNA", at positions 524 to 776 of the family's 1533-position model. The record is from RNAcentral.